Long non-coding RNA from Anas platyrhynchos (mallard), 1049 nucleotides. RefSeq lists it as uncharacterized. The record is from RefSeq and is a predicted model, not a curated record. Lineage: Eukaryota; Metazoa; Chordata; Aves; Anseriformes; Anatidae.
GGGGGUCUGGACUGCUCAGGGUUAGGCUGGGCAUCGGUCAGCGGGUGGAUUUUCUAGGAUGUGUGGCCAUUCAUCCCCUGGGUAACAUCUUUGCCAGAAUAUAAUCAACUGCCCAGUGAGGACAAUGCAAAGCGAGAGUUUGUUUCCACAUCAUCUGGAUAUGACUCUAAAUCUUUCACAAAGGAAUCAGAAAUUGUGGAGUGAGUGCUGGAGAGGAAUGGAAAACAAAGGUAGGCAUCUGCACUUCCCCAAGGAAACCAAAGAAGGAACCUCCACUUCCCCAAAGAGCCCUGCAACCUCUUGCUGUGCACCUGCGACUGCCACUGAAGACUGUCAUUACCUCCCAUUGUCUGCACCUGCAUUCACCUUAAGAUCUCAAAAGCUGCUCUUGGAGUGAAGAAGUAGUGCUGCUCUUGGGAAUGAAGAGUGCUCCUGGGCAAUUCUUCUUCACAGGCAGCUGUGUAACCCAGCUUUCCAAUUAAGUGCAGAAAUGCUGAGUUUCCCUGUGAUCUAAAGGGAUUUACAGUCCAAGACUGUGAGCUAAGUUAGGGUGCUGUGGAAAGGAAGUGACUGUAGAGCAGCAGAUGAAGGGAAGGAAAUGAGGUAACUUAAAUAAGGAAAAUACUUGAGCAUGUAUUGCCUGUGCUGUUUUUAUGUAUUUUUAUGUAGUGCUGUAGAUCAAUGCACUCCUGGAAUAACAGGGUUAUCACAGAUUGCCAAUAAUACAUCAUAAUAAGAGAGGUGUACUUCCUGUCAUUUGAUUUUCCUCAGACUACCAAAAAAGCCUAGGAAUUAGAUCUUCAAAGGUAUCACGUGAUAGCACACUCACUUUUUCCAAUACAGCAAAAAAAGAUCAAUUUGCUUUCUGAUGAAAGUGAAUGCAGCAGCAGUACCUCUGUAUAACCUUCUAUUAAAUACUGCUGAAUGGAUACAUUUUCUCUGUGAGGUUUAUCUCUUUCUUCUGAGUGAUGGAUUCUGACACAUGUUCUCAAACUGAACCCUGACUGCUCUCUCCUAAUAUUAUUUACCAAAUUGUGACUACUUUCACA